CCUUUUUAAUAUCAACGGAUUAAAAACUGGAAGGAAUUCUUAGAGAUUCCCAUCCUCUCGGCCACUCACUUCAUUUGACAAAGAAAUAGAAGCUCAGAAAGAGAAAGUGACAUAGCUGACAAGGAGUGUGUCAUAUUUCUCCUGCCUUCUCUAUGUUGUAUAUGGACUUGUCAGAAUGACCUUUUCUCCAUCAAUGGAGGAACUGAGAUCAAAGUAGUUAAAGAAUUCCCUAAGAUCAUACAGAACUUGGAUUCAACGACAGUGUUCUGAUUCCAAAUUCCUUCCCUUCCCUUCCAUUUCAUUCCUUUCCUUUUUUUAUUUUUAGACACUUGACAAUGGACAGUAAGCAAAGGAUAAUUUCAGGGUGGGGAAACUAUUUUUUAAAAAUUAAUACCUACUCAAGCAUCUUUGUAGGCAUAAGAUAAGGAUCCAGUAGAAAGGGAGGGAUAGAACAUUCAUGAAAAGAAGGAAGCAAUUAUUUUUUAAACACCUACUGUGUGCUACCAUAAGUACUUUUCAAAUAAUUUAUUUGAUCUCUGGGAAGUAGGUGCUUUUAUUAUCUCAGCCUAACAGUUAAGGGAACUGAAAUAGAGGCCAAAUGAUUUCUCCCAGACCACAUAGUUGGAAAAUGUCUGAGGCCAGAUUUGAAUUUAGAUCUUCCUGAAUCCAGGUCCAACACUUAUUCAUGGAACACCCAGCUGUCUCUGAAAGAGUUAUGUAAGUCCAUGCUUAUGCCUGAGGAGAAUACAUUUCUUUGAAAAGCUGUCAGCUUGGUUUUUAAAAUCAAUGAUUUUUUUCUAUUUCCACCUCUUC
RNAcentral lists this long non-coding RNA (813 nucleotides) under Monodelphis domestica (gray short-tailed opossum). Its description in RNAcentral is "lncRNA (ENSMODG00000047172.1)". Lineage: Eukaryota; Metazoa; Chordata; Mammalia; Didelphimorphia; Didelphidae. The record is from RNAcentral.